Molecule: unclassified non-coding RNA, 2105 nt
Filed under: Hevea brasiliensis (rubber tree)
Lineage: Eukaryota; Viridiplantae; Streptophyta; Magnoliopsida; Malpighiales; Euphorbiaceae
Source: RNAcentral
UCUCUCUCUCACUCUCUCUCUCUGUGCCUCGAAGGCUUCGCUGAAGAGCUUUCUCUCGUACAAACGGUCAAUGACUUUAUUUUCCACUCUUUCUCCCACUUCUUCUUUUCCUUCUCAUUCUUCUAUGGCUUCCCAUUCCUCUCUGCAACUUUCCAAGUCAUUCCACUUCUCAAAGUCUUUUGGAUCAAAAAGCAAAAGGACCAUGGCUGAUGUACCCAAAUUAAAUAUAAAUGGGAAGAAACUUGGAAAUUUUCUCUUUCUGAAGAAUAGUGGUUCACUUGAAUUGUUCUUUGCACAUUGCUGUUCUUCACACUGUUUUUCUUUAAGAGCAUUAUCAUCUAUGGCCUCUUCUGAUUCUGCUGAAGAAACUAUUGGUGACAAUAGUGCCGCUGUGGCUAAAGCUGACAAUAAUGAAAUGGAGUUCAAUCGUGUAAAUUGUCUUUUAUGGGUAUUGCAUGAAUCUGCUGCAAGCUUUUCAAUUGCAAUUCAGUCACUUAAACUGCCAGGAAGAAGUGCAGAGCUCGCGAUGGCUUGGAACGGGAAGGAUGUUCAUGAAUGGCAUAAACGUAUUGCUUACCAGGUAAGUGCCUAGCAUAUCAAAGCAUUAACAUUCUUCUCUUCUUUUCUUUUCUUUUAUUUUCUCUUUGUUUUUUUGGGUUCAUAAAUUUGACAUUUUAGAAUUAUCAUACACUUAUGUUUGCUUAUAUUGAAGAUUUUCUUGCUAUUUCUGGUGUUCUAGGUUAUUUACAAUCAUUUCUACAUAUUGCACAUCCAUUCACACGUUUCUGCUCAUAUUUUGUUCCUUGCCUUUUAACAACUAUCACUGAGAUAAUUUAAUUGAUUGGAGGUGAACCAUCUUUAUGAAUAAUUAGAAGACAUGAAAAAUUGGAACAAGACCAUUGACUAUUGAGGCUGUCCAGGUAGCUGUUUAUGCUUUGUUAAAAACGGCAAUUGAAGUAGAGAUUUUGCUUUCUCUUGAUCGUCACAACAAUGCAUCUCCCGUUAAAGAAAUCUUGACCCCAAAGAUAAACUUGGUGGGAGAGUACAUUGAAAGUCAGUUGAACAUGAAGCAUGCUGACUUAGUACAAUGGUUUAGAGUGGUGGAAUUGCCUCGUAUUGCAGGUUUUUUCAUUCCCUUGCUGAGGAAGUGGUCCGCGGAAUAUGCUGGAAGUGGUGUUGCAGGAAUCAUUGUGGCAAUAAGCUGCUGCGCUGCUGUUGCAAAGCUGGGUUCUGGAAGAAUUUCAUGUCCUAUGUUUACACUAUCAGUUGAGGAUGUAUUAGUAGAGCUCAUGGAUCUUUCACAUAGUCUUGUAGAAGUGGACAAAUUGCAUCAAUUAGCAACUGAGGCUGGAUUUGAACUCAACUUCCUCUCCCAUUUUGGAGCAAAGGUACUGCCUUGCAACAAAAUUGAAGAGCUAGAAUUCUGGAUUGGACUGGCUCAGCGAAAACUCUCAGUGGCAUUCAGCAGAGAAAUGGUAGUCAGAGGCACAGAAAACUCUCAUGAAAAGGUCAAUUCUAUGGUUCAGGAAAGUCUCCUGGUCAAUUUUAAUUUUUUGAGAAGCGGUAAAGUUAUUUUAGUUUUCAUGAUGUUAUUUUAGUUUUCAUGUUUUAACAGAAAAUUUAUGUAGAAGACUGAGUUCGUUUCCAGUAGAUGAGUUUUAGACAAAAAUAUAUUGGUCAAGUCCAAAUCCAGAUUUGAUGCUUGUAACAACGCAUAUCUGGUGUAUAUAAAUUCCACAUCAUUUUUUCUAACGUUAUCUGUAUGGAAUUUCUGGCAUUAGUUAAAACUACAUUCUUUUUGACAUUUUAAUAAGGUAUCUCUUACAAAUCUUUAACAGGUUCAGACAGAUAGCUUGGCUACUCUUGGACUUUUUGCCUUCCUGGGAAGAAAGACUAGAUUAUUCUUGUCAAGAAUGAAUGUUAAGGAUCUUGAUGAGCUGGUUAAAGACCUCCUCAAUUACUUGGAGUGUGGUAUCCUUUUCAUUUACCCUGAACUUGCUUCCAUAUCAGCAUAUGAAUGUUUCAUGGAGGCAGUAACUGAAGAAAUCGGAUGGCUUGAUUUUUAUGGUACCUGUUGUCCUCUAAGCAAUCAAGAAAGGAAAAGG